GGUAAUUAUGUGGUGAACUAUCAUCAUACUUCCUACUGAAUUCCAUCAUCAACUAUCCAUCAUACUUUUCUCAUGCUCGUGAAGAGCUCGUCAAACCAAUAUUGCAAAGGAUGCUGGCAUGCAGUCUUCUUGUCAUUUCGACUGAGCCUUUCAAGUAGCGUGAUUUUGAGUUGAAGAGUGAGCCUGCAACUAGAAUUGCAAAGAAUGCUGGCCCAAAAAAGAUCAUUCUUCGCAAGCUCAUCAUUGUGUGUAAGUUUGAAUGUGAUGGGAAGUGCAGCAUAUGCCUCACAACUGUGUUGAAAACGAUUGGAAACCACAAAUUCAGCAGUAUUCUUAUUAUUUCUACCUUGCCAGUCUCCACACUUUGACGUGAACCUCAACACCACUAUGCCUCAGACUACCAAGCCUGCCUCAUCAUCCGAAAAAUUGCUGGCCCUGCAAACUACCCAGUCUACGGACAUCAAGCCUAAGUAAAAAAAGGCCCUUCUUCACCUCGCCCGUCAUCGUUUCGCCCGUCGUCCCGUCAUCGCUUCGCCCGUCGUCCCGUCAUCGCUUUGCCCGUCGUCCCGUCAUCGCUUUGCCCGUCGUCCCGUCAUCGCUUCGCCUGUCACCGCUUCGCCCAUCGCCGCCUAAUG
Long non-coding RNA from Daphnia carinata, 635 nucleotides. RefSeq lists it as uncharacterized. The record is from RefSeq and is a predicted model, not a curated record. The transcript is spliced from 4 exons. NCBI's taxonomy places the organism in Eukaryota, Metazoa, Arthropoda, Branchiopoda, Diplostraca, Daphniidae.